This 464-nucleotide long non-coding RNA is filed under the name Brassica napus (rape). RNAcentral's name for it is "long non-coding RNA (BNAP_LNC009608)". The record is from RNAcentral. Lineage: Eukaryota; Viridiplantae; Streptophyta; Magnoliopsida; Brassicales; Brassicaceae.
AUACACACCAAGGAAUAAUACGACGAUAGUGGCGCAAAUAUACAAACAUGUGGUCAACUGCAACCGAUCGUAGCGCUAUAUUUAUCGUCUAGGCUAGGUAACACAUGGUCACAAUUACCAAGACGAUAACGAUCUCAUUUACCAUUAAUAUGCGCAUAGAAAGGUUAACUGUUUGCCAAACUAGACAUUAAGGACAAUCACACUUCACCUCCAAAUUAAGGACUCGAACAUGCAAAGAGGGCUGAAUAAUCUACGAGAGAUACCGACACAAUAGCUCAAGUUUCAUUUUAAAUGUGAUAAAUGGUCAUUAAAUGUGUAGUAAAGCAUGUCAGAAUUAAGACAUUGUACAAUUGAUAUUUAGAGAUUGCAUUCAAUGCAGCUGAAUGAAUCCCCACCCGAUGGAACUGAUACACGUUGCAUGUGUCCACAAUACCAUCAAAAUGAAAGAUGACCAAAGGUCAUUU